UACGUAGGUGGCAAGCGUUGUCCGGAAUUAUUGGGCGUAAAGCGCGCGCAGGUGGUUCUUUAAGUCUGAUGUGAAAGCCCACGGCUCAACCGUGGAGGGUCAUUGGAAACUGGGGAACUUGAGUCCGGAAGAGGAAAGUGGAAUUCCUGGUGUAGCGGUGAAAUGCGCAGAUAUCAGGAAGAACACCAAUGGCGAAAGCAGCUUUCUGGGACGGUACUGACGCUGAGACGCGAAAGCGUGGGGAGCGAACAGG
This 253-nucleotide ribosomal RNA is filed under the name uncultured bacterium. RNAcentral's name for it is "partial 16S ribosomal RNA". It matches the Rfam family "Bacterial small subunit ribosomal RNA", at positions 524 to 776 of the family's 1533-position model. The record is from RNAcentral.